CCUACGGGAGGCAGCAGUGAGGAAUAUUGGUCAAUGGACGCAAGUCUGAACCAGCCAUGCCGCGUGCAGGAAGACGGCUCUAUGAGUUGUAAACUGCUUUUGUACGAGGGUAAACGCAGAUACGCGUAUCUGUCUGAAAGUAUCGUACGAAUAAGGAUCGGCUAACUCCGUGACAGCGGCCGCGGUAAUACGGAGGAUUCAAGUGUUAUCAGGAUUUAUUGGGUUUAAAGGGUGCGUAGGCGGUCGGAUAAGUUAGAGGUGAAAUCCCGGGGUUCAACUUCGGAAUUGCCUCUGAUACUGUGCGGCUAGAGAGUAGUUGCGGUAGGCGGAAUGUAUGGUGUAGCGGUGAAAUGCUUAGAGAUCAUACAGAACACCGAUUGCGAAGGCAGCUUACCAAGCUACUUCUGACGUUGAGGCACGAAAGCGUGGGGAGCAAACAGGAUUAGAUACCCGGGUAGUC
This 460-nucleotide ribosomal RNA is filed under the name uncultured bacterium. RNAcentral's name for it is "partial 16S ribosomal RNA". It matches the Rfam family "Bacterial small subunit ribosomal RNA", at positions 338 to 795 of the family's 1533-position model. The record is from RNAcentral.